UUGGCUUAUAUAGUGUGACUUCCUUCUCUGCCUAUUGAUUCAGGGUCAUGAAGAUCUCGAAAUGGUCAAGGGGCAGUUUCAACUUCCAAUUCCUAAGAUGAAUUACUGCAUUCUCUGGUGGAGCUGUUCCUCUCCGAGACACAGGGAGCUCCAAACUGCCAAGUUCAAGAUCGGGCACAGGUGGCAGCAAACACUCUUCCAGCGAGAGGCCACUCCUCUUCAUUUUUUGGUUCCCAACCUGCUCAUUCUGUCUACAGGAAGACCACACACUUGGUCAUUAGUAUAAAGCGUAUAUUGCAUCCUGGCCAGGAGCAAGUCAUUAACGGCUUCUUAAAUGGAUAGAAGUUGUUCACAGGAAAGAAUAUGAGUUCACUCUGCCACCACCACCUGCUGCCAUGAGCCCAAAGAAGUGGGAGGAGAGAGUUUUCUGGAGCCCAGAAGACAGUUAGCUGCCUCAAAAGGUGAAAGGGCACAGCCAGACUGCAGCAUCCUACAGGGAGGAAUCUAGAGGGUAAGAGACCCUGCUGACCUUGUGCCUACAGGCCAGCCCCCUGCAGCCCAAAGAGGUGGAUGGGGGUAAAGACUUGACCUGGGUGGGCAGAUGAAAGACACCGGUGCAGCCACUUUUCCCCAAAGGGAGUCAGGAGCAGACAGCUUUAGUCCUUCCAGGCCUUGAAGAAGGAGAGGUUUGCCCAGGAGCCGAUCACAGGGGGCACCUCGGGAGAAAGGAGCGACACAAGCAGAUGUGCAGAGACCAGAGUGCGGCAGGUACAUCCAGAUGUUGGCUGCGUGCCUAGAAAGGAGGUCAGGGUCAACACACACCGCUCGUGCGCUGGCCUGGGCCCCAAUCUCCACUCAUCUGGAAGACGCUGUUUCUGGAGUCUGUCCAUCUUUCUGGCUUGGGACCUCGCGCACUGGGCAUCCAGAGACCUCAGGAAACACUGCUCACUGCGGCCCACACAGUGAGGGCCCCACACAUUCUACCCCGCUGUCUGCCAGGAUCCACAGCCUUCCGGCCCUGCUGUCACCAGGGCUCAUCUGACCAACUCUGUCUUUAACUAGUUUGUCCUUAGUGCCCAGCCCUGCGAUCAGAAAUGGCCUCCAUGCCUGAUGGGGCCGUGGUCUGCUGUCCGCUUCCAGAGAGAAAGUCCCGUGGCAAUAACAGCCCUGAUAGAAGAAAGUGCAAGGUGCACACGGAGCUUAGAAGAGGGGACCAACUGCGUGGGCAGAGGCAAGGAGGGCUCCAGGGGAGGUGUCACCGGCCAGGUCUUGGGUGUCCAUAGCAGUCCUCCAGGCGGGUAGGAGAGGAAGGCAUUGGAAGCAGUGGGACCAGCAUAGACAAGUGUCUGGAGACGUGGGAGCGUGAGAGCAGCAGCCUUCCUGUGGCUGGGGGACACGGCAGGGGAUGAGGCUGGAGGGACAGAAUGAAAAAGGGUCUCAAAUACCAGGUUCAGUAGUUUAAAUUUUGCCCUGAAGACAAGGGGCUGGGAUGGGGGUGGGGGAGGCACACAGAAUACAUUUUCAAGACCUUACCAUUGAGAGUACGUUUGCACUUUCAAGAUGUUACUAUCGUUGUGCCUAUUUUACGGGAUUUGGGAAAGGUAUGUAACUUGUACAAAGUGACCUGGCUUAUGCAAGACGCAUCCAUACAUGCUAUAAGCAUAUGAUCUCUGAAUUCUUGGGGAGACGAGCACAGUGCCGUGUGGCACUCUAAUUAUCUACUGCUGGGAAACACCCUUGCACUUAAAGUCUUACCAUGACAACAGCCACUUAUGUUGCUCGUGAAUCUGCAAUUCGGGCAGAGGCCGGCAGGGAGGGUUUGUGUCUGUGGCACGCAGCAUCGGCCAGGCAGCUUGCCUGAAACAAGUUAUAAGGGUGGCGGCAUGUCUAGGACCAGGAGGCAGUUCCCGGGAAGGCUGGCAAGGUCUCCACUGGUCUCCCAGGGUCUGGUGGAGACUGAGUCACAAGCAGAGGGCUUGUCGCCUGGCAUCAGGGUUGAUACCAGGAGGUGGCCUGGUGCUUCUUCAUCUUGGGAGGGAGUGCUCUCUACAGGAGCGCUAGGGUCCAUUCCAUCUGUUCCCCCUGGAGAAAUGGAAGCCUUCAGCUGAGGAAGAAGCUGGAAGUGGUCUCUGUGCCUCUCACACAGGGAAGGAACGCCCUGUAGUAUCUCUACUCCUGCUUGCACACGUCCACUGGUGAACCACUCACUGUCCCUGGGCCAGCUGCCCUGAUGUGGGGCUGCUUGGCUGUUAAGUCUUCUGUCCAGCCUCCCUCCGGCCUCAGCGCCUGCGUCCCUGUUCUCCACUCUGCCCACAGAACAAUCCUGCCCCCCAUCGUCUUCAUCAGCCCCGGAGAGUCAAGAAGCAUCACCAAACGUAAAGUACCAAUAAAUAGCCAACAGUCAGGAUAAUGACAAUAGCCAACACCCAGUGCACGUUAUGUUUAGAACUGUUCUAGGUGCUUGGCGUGUGAUAAUCUAUUUAGCCAUUACACUCCUGUGAGAUAGGACAGACCUCCCCUGUCUUGUUCAUUCCUGGGUCCCCAAGACCCUGCCUGGCACUUAUCAGCUAGAUAAUAUGUGUGUGUCGUAUUGUUGUAGGUUGUAUUGUAUUGUAUCCUCGGAAUCCUUAGAGUUGUCGUGAGGACAAAGUAUACAAUGGAUGUGACAAGCAAGAAAGAGGCACACGGUGUGGGGCUUCCUCGUCUCCUGCUCUUUGUCACUGAGGCCCACGCAAAGCCAGGUGUAAAGCCUGAGCUGGGGGUGCUUCAGGGGGGCCCCUGGGAGUGAGGGUGAUGCUGCAGGACAUCAGAAAAACUGGGGUGGGCGGGUGAAUGGAAGGAUGGACGCAGAUGGAUGGAUGAAGAAAUAAGGGUUCUUUCGAAAGACCAUGUACCGGUGUGGACUCAGGCUGGUAUUUCAGUCUUUAUCCAGCAGAGGGCACCAAGGCUCCAACAAUUGGCAGAGGAGCCUUUCUUGGCCCUGCAGGAGGGCACUGUAUCCCACAGAGGGCCUGGCCCGCAUAUUGUCAGCAGCCCUGGCAGGGUGGCGACGGAGGGAAAGACAUCAGAGUCCAUAGGGGUGCAGGGCGAGGAGCAAAGGGCACAGGCUAGAGUCAGAUCCAGGAGUCCACCUCCCGUAAGGGGGACCUUGGGGAGUACCUCACACCCCGGAGAGGUUCCCUUUUGUAACAUGAUACACAAAAUCCGUGUACCUUCUAGGCUGGCCCUGAGGAUUAAAUGAGAUGCACUCUAGGGGGUGCGCAAACCUCAGAGAGAUUUGUCUGCCCUCCCUGAGGCCACCCAGCAAGUACGAGGUGGUCUCUGAGGAUCCUAAGGAGAUGUCUAUGAAAAUAGAGAGUUGUAUUAGGAUGAAAGCCGUUCUGGGGAAUAGAGACAGUUCUAGGUGAGUGUGGAAGACUUGGGGGCGGGAAGCUGCUCAGAGGCUAGGGAGAUUCUUGGAGACACUGAGGUAAGGAAGCCCACCCUGUCAUGAUGAGUAGAUACCUGAUCCCCCCUCACAGCCAGCCUAGGAGCUCCAGGUGCACCUCAUUAAUGUGGGAAAUUGAGAUUUUGUUUUAAAUGUUUGUGGGGGGAGAGAGCAAGUGGGGGAGGAGCAGAGAGAGGAGGACAAGGGAUCUGAAGUGGGCUCCACGCUGACAGCAGCAAGUCCAGCCGGACGUGGGUCUCGAACCCACGAGCCACAAGAUAAUGACCUGCGCCAAAGUCAGAUGCUCAACUGACUGAGCCACCCAGGUGCCCUGGGAAAUUAAGACUUUCAUGUGGAACUUGCCUUGCCCGUCUGCUGGCAGCUGGGUGUGCAUUUGCCAUCUCAGCGGGUAUUUCAGGAGUUUUUCCUUCGGCAUUUAUUUUAUGUAUUGUGGUCACUCCUGCUCCCUGCCAGGGAUUUAUCGCAGGGACCAGGCCUGGCUCACCCUGCCUCAGACUGGGCUUGUGUCAACAGGCCGUCCCCUGCAGAAAGCCAAGCCCGGUUCCAUACGGCUUCAAAGACAUAAACAGCAAACCAAUGCCAUGUUUCCCUGGAGCCAAUGGCCUUGCCAGGCUGAGGAAGUGUCCAGCCAGACCACAACAGCAAGGGGGCUCCCAGUGGUAAGCCGGUGCCCUAGCCUGGGCCGUGGCCUUGGUCUUGAGCAAGAAGAUGGUCCACACUUGCGGUGCUGCUAUUUCUGAAAGUGGCUUGCGCAGGACAGGCCUCCCUUUUGGGGACAGGACCCCAAGGCAGAGCAGGGAUGCUUUGUUUUCUUCUCGUAAGGCAGCAUCUAGAAGCCGCCAAGGUGCUGCGGGCCAGGGUAGAGCUGGGUGGGACCACACCCGGCCCAGGACCGACUCGGGUUUCAGGAGCCCCCGGUGCUGCUCGUCAGGGUGAGCCGCCAGCCUCCGCCACCUGAAGGGUCUGCGUCUUCCCGGGUGGCAGAACUCCCAGCCCCGGGCUCGAGCGGGAU
This is a long non-coding RNA of Felis catus (domestic cat), 4460 nucleotides long. RefSeq lists it as uncharacterized. The transcript has 3 exons. Lineage: Eukaryota; Metazoa; Chordata; Mammalia; Carnivora; Felidae. The record is from RefSeq and is a predicted model, not a curated record.